RNAcentral lists this unclassified non-coding RNA (200 nucleotides) under uncultured Lecanoromycetes. RNAcentral's name for it is "sequence contains ITS1". Lineage: Eukaryota; Fungi; Ascomycota; Lecanoromycetes. The record is from RNAcentral.
UUGAGAGGGAUUCGUCCCCGGGGGUUGUACCCUUCAUCUCAAACCCUUUGUUUACCUUACCACAACGUUGCUUUGGCGGGCCUUGGGGUCGUGCCCAUGCCGCCGGGGGCGCCAGUCCCCGGCGGCGAGUGCCCGCCGAAAGCCCCCAUUUUAAAACCUCGAACAAACCUGUCGUCUGAGUGAAAAACAAAAAUCAAGCA